This 203-nucleotide ribosomal RNA is filed under the name uncultured Cryptanaerobacter sp. RNAcentral's name for it is "partial 16S ribosomal RNA". It matches the Rfam family "Bacterial small subunit ribosomal RNA", at positions 1184 to 1382 of the family's 1533-position model. Lineage: Bacteria; Bacillati; Bacillota; Clostridia; Eubacteriales; Desulfotomaculaceae. The record is from RNAcentral.
GUCAAAUCAUCAUGCCCCCUUAUGGUUCUGGGCUACACACGUGCUACCAAUGGCCGGUACAGACGGACGCAAAGCCGCGAGGCGGAGCAAAUCCGAAAAAAGCCGGUCUCAGUUCGGAUUGCAGGCUGCAAUUCGCCUGCAUGAAGUCGGAAUCGCUAGUAAUCGCAGGUCAGCAUACUGCGGUGAAUACGUUCCCGGGCCUU